GAUGAACGCUGGCGGCGUGCCUAAUACAUGCAAGUCGAGCGAACGGACGAGAAGCUUGCUUCUCUGAUGUUAGCGGCGGACGGGUGAGUAACACGUGGAUAACCUACCUAUAAGACUGGGAUAACUUCGGGAAACCGGAGCUAAUACCGGAUAAUAUUUUGAACCGCAUGGUUCAAAAGUGAAAGACGGUCUUGCUGUCACUUAUAGAUGGAUCCGCGCUGCAUUAGCUAGUUGGUAAGGUAACGGCUUACCAAGGCAACGAUGCAUAGCCGACCUGAGAGGGUACGCGGCCACACUGGAACUGAGACACGGUCCAGACUCCUACGGGAGGCAGCAGUAGGGAAUCUUCCGCAAUGGGCGAAAGCCUGACGGAGCAACGCCGCGUGAGUGAUGAAGGUCUUCGGAUCGUAAAACUCUGUUAUUAGGGAAGAACAUAUGUGUAAGUAACUGUGCACAUCUUGACGGUACCUAAUCAGAAAGCCACGGCUAACUACGUG
RNAcentral lists this ribosomal RNA (497 nucleotides) under uncultured bacterium. RNAcentral describes it as "partial 16S ribosomal RNA". It matches the Rfam family "Bacterial small subunit ribosomal RNA", at positions 28 to 507 of the family's 1533-position model. The record is from RNAcentral.